AGAGUUUGAUCAUGGCUCAGAUUGAACGCUGACGGCAUGCCUUACACAUGCAAGUCGAACGGCAGCAUGAUCUAGCUUGCUAGAUUGAUGGCGAGUGGCGAACGGGUGAGUAAUACAUCGGAACGUGCCCUGUAGUGGGGGAUAACUAGUCGAAAGAUUAGCUAAUACCGCAUACGACCUGAGGGUGAAAGUGGGGGACCGCAAGGCCUCAUGCUAUAGGAGCGGCCGAUGUCUGAUUAGCUAGUUGGUGAGGUAAAGGCUCACCAAGGCGACGAUCAGUAGCUGGUCUGAGAGGACGAUCAGCCACACUGGGACUGAGACACGGCCCAGACUCCUACGGGAGGCAGCAGUGGGGAAUUUUGGACAAUGGGGGCAACCCUGAUCCAGCAAUGUCGCGUGUGUGAAGAAGGCCUUCGGGUUGUAAAGCACUUUUGUCCGGAAAGAAAUCGCACUUACUAAUAUUAGGUGUGGAUGACGGUACCGGAAGAAUAAGGACCGGCUAACUACGUGCCAGCAGCCGCGGUAAUACGUAGGGUCCAAGCGUUAAUCGGAAUUACUGGGCGUAAAGCGUGCGCAGGCGGUUGUGCAAGACCGAUGUGAAAUCCCCGGGCUUAACCUGGGAAUUGCAUUGGUGACUGCACGGCUAGAGUGUGUCAGAGGGGGGUAGAAUUCCACGUGUAGCAGUGAAAUGCGUAGAGAUGUGGAGGAAUACCGAUGGCGAAGGCAGCCCCCUGGGAUAACACUGACGCUCAUGCACGAAAGCGUGGGGAGCAAACAGGAUUAGAUACCCCCGUAGUCC
RNAcentral lists this ribosomal RNA (799 nucleotides) under uncultured Ralstonia sp. RNAcentral describes it as "bacterial SSU rRNA". It matches the Rfam family "Bacterial small subunit ribosomal RNA", at positions 8 to 796 of the family's 1533-position model. The record is from RNAcentral. Lineage: Bacteria; Pseudomonadati; Pseudomonadota; Betaproteobacteria; Burkholderiales; Burkholderiaceae.